UCUGCCCUCAGGAGGGGGAUAACGGUUGGAAACGACCGCUAAUACCCCAUAUGCCGAGAGGUGAAAUGAAUUUCGCCUGAGGAUGAGCUCGCGUCUGAUUAGUUAGUUGGUGGGGUAAUGGCCUACCAAGGCGACGAUCAGUAUCUGGUCUGAGAGGAUGAUCAGCCACACUGGGACUGAGACACGGCCCAGACUCCUACGGGAGGCAGCAGUGGGGAAUUUUCCGCAAUGGGCGAAAGCCUGACGGAGCAACGCCGCGUGAGGGAUGAAGGCCUCUGGGCUGUAAACCUCUUUUAUCAAGGAAGAAGAUCUGACGGUACUUGAUGAAUAAGCCACGGCUAAUUCCGUGCCAGCAGCCGCGGUAAUACGGGAGUGGCAAGCGUUAUCCGGAAUUAUUGGGCGUAAAGCGUCCGCAGGCGGUCUGUCAAGUCUGCUGUUAAAGCGUGGAGCUUAACUCCAUUUCGGCAGUGGAAACUGACAGACUAGAGUGUGGUAGGGGCAGAGGGAAUUCCCGGUGUAGCGGUGAAAUGCGUAGGUAUCGGGAAGAACACCAGUGGCGAAGGCGCUCUGCUGGGCCAUAACUGACACUCAUGGACGAAAGCCAGGGGAGCGAAAGGGAUUAGAUACCCCUGUAGUCCUGGCCGUAAACGAUGAACACUAGGUGUCGGGGGAAUCGACCCCCUCGGUGUCGUAGCCAACGCGUUAAGUGUUCCGCCUGGGGAGUACGCACGCAAGUGUGAAACUCAAAGGAAUUGACGGGGGCCCGCACAAGCGGUGGAGUAUGUGGUUUAAUUCGAUGCAACGCGAAGAACCUUACCAGGGUUUGACAUCCUGCGAAUCUCUUGGAAACGAGAGAGUGCCUUCGGGAACGCAGUGACAGGU
Molecule: ribosomal RNA, 882 nt
Filed under: uncultured bacterium
Lineage: Bacteria
Description: bacterial SSU rRNA
Rfam family: Bacterial small subunit ribosomal RNA
Source: RNAcentral